Molecule: ribosomal RNA, 482 nt
Filed under: uncultured bacterium
Lineage: Bacteria
Description: bacterial SSU rRNA
Rfam family: Bacterial small subunit ribosomal RNA
Source: RNAcentral
AGGCUUAACACAUGCAAGUCGAGGGGCAGCAUUGGAGUAGCAAUACUCAGAUGGCGACCGGCGCACGGGUGAGUAACACGUAUCCAACCUGCCGCUUACUCGGGGAUAGCCUUUCGAAAGAAAGAUUAAUACCCGAUGGUAUAAAGAGUUCGCAUGUUCUCUUUAUUAAAGAAUUUCGGUAAGCGAUGGGGAUGCGUUCCACUAGAUAGUUGGCGGGGUAACGGCCCACCAAGUCUACGAUGGAUAGGGGUUCUGAGAGGAAGGUCCCCCACAUUGGAACUGAGACACGGUCCAAACUCCUACGGGAGGCAGCAGUGAGGAAUAUUGGUCAAUGGACGAGAGUCUGAACCAGCCAAAGUAGCGUGAAGGAUGACUGCCCUAUGGGUUGUAAACUUCUUUUAUAAGGGAAUAAAGUGAGGGACGUGUCCCUUUUUGUAUGUACCUUAUGAAUAAGGAUCGGCUAACUCCGUGCCAGCCGCGGC